AUAGCCUAAAGAACAUUGUUCAGUUGUUAGUUUUAAAAAAUUGUAGUCAUUUUUCAAAGGACUGUGUAGCCCUGGUACACGAGGCUAGUCCUGAACUGGUGUGAAUUAACAUAAAUGUCCAUUUCAAUUGAGCUAUUCCACUUUACACUAGCUGACUUCCCAAACAAAUUUGUAUUGUUUAGUGGAAAAGAAAACCUUAAGAAAAACAAGGUUCUUCAGAGGGGGACAUCGCAUCGAAGACAGACCCCUGUCAUCCUCCAAAAUGCAUGCAAGAGAAAAUUGCUUGGUUCAAGAGGAACCUCAUGGAGCUCAAAUGCCAAGUGAACAUGUGAAAUACCAGGUUUUUAAGUGGAGUUUGCACAGCUGUCAUGCUGGUUUAACUUCAGCCACAACUCUGAAUAACAGGAAAACAGAACUUUGCAUGGAAACUGCUUUUCUGGCCUUUGGCAGAAUACACCAGACAAGAAGACGUCGCCUGAGAUUGACAACUACAUAAACAAAAUUUGCAAUGUGAAACAUGAAACUAUGUGAGAAGAAUACAAUAUAAAUCCACAAGGAGAUAGAAAGUAUGUGAAAGCCUUUUGCUGCUGGUGGCAAAAAAAAGAAACAACAUGUUGGACGUGAAUGUAAGCAAAUGUUUUAAGGUAAGUACAUGUUUCUGGGGAGAGCCUGGUGCUCCCAUCAGGCUUUACAGAUUGAUUCAUUUCAAUCCUGUUGACACAAUAGAGACUAAAUCCCUCAUACUUUGGUUUGAAUUCAUGCAUUUACCUCAUAUUUACUCAUUUUGAAAAUACUGAUUCUCACACAAAGUCCUGGAAUUUUUUCUCUAAGAGACUGUUUCAAAACAGACAAGACAGAGAAAAACAUUCAGAUUUUAGACAUAUUUUGUUGUGUUCAGGAUUUCCUUAAAUGAUUGUCUGCUUCAUUCCUGACAUGCCUGUUUGUUCGCCAACCAUGAGCAAAGACAUUGUGUAGUCAAUCCUGCUUCUUUUCCAUUUGCACUUAUUCAUAUUCUGAUAAACUGGACUGGUUGCCUUUAUAGCAAAAUAAGACUAUAUAAAAUAGUCUCGAAUGCUUUACUUCAGAGACCUAAUAUGUAAACAGGGUGUAAAAGAAAGCUUCUUUAAUUCCAAGAAAUAUAGCUAGUCUUGGCUUUCUUGCAUGUCCUUAACUGAAAUGAAGCUGAGACAAUCAAAGAAAGAAAUUUCAGCUUCAGCAGGAUAUGUUGAUGACAUCAGAUUUUUUAGUGUCUUUGAACCAGAACUAUUUAGAAUUUUAUCAACUGCGAUGAAGAUCAGAAUUAAUUUCUCACCAUUGAUGGUGAUAUCUGAAUUUUUAUUUCAAGUGACAAUUUACAAAAAUGUAGAGCUUUAGCACACAGAUCAUCUCAUAAACUUAAGGGUGGCUGUUCACAUGCUUAAGCUGUCACACACUGAGUCAUUGGGUAUUAUUUUACUUCAAGAAAGAUCAGGAAAAAACACUUCUCAAAACCUCAAAUUCAAGAAGUAAAAAAGAUCCUUAAAGCAACAUUAAAAUAUAUGGAAAAGGAUUUUAAUCAAAAAUUUACUAAUGCUAUUCAGAUAUAUUUAAAUUUACUUCAAUAUGAUGUUGAAUCAAGCCCAUAUUGCUGAGCUAUGUAAAAAAUUUCUUGACCUAUUAAUUGAUUCAUCACUUAAUUACAACUUUGUUAGUUCCUUUGUUAUUAUAUAGUUUCUCCUGAUUUAUACCAGCAGGUCAACACCCCAUGUUAUCACUGUUUUGGUCUAUGUGUCCUAGUUAUGUGUAGGUACCUGAAAAAUCAACCAUAGCUUAAAACCCACAGACAUUACAAAGGUUAUCACUAACUUUUAGGAGCAGUGGAAUCCACAGAUUGUGUGUUGCCUUCUCUUGAAAACAGACUGGGUUUGAGCUCUUCUGAUGAAAUUGUUUAUCACUCUGGGAUCACCUUUUCCCACCAACCUUUGCUAUAGUACCAUCAUCUGUGUAUCUGGUGCCACUGAAUUUGAGUUAGUCUUCAGUUACACUACCAACAGGAUGAGAUAAAUUAAAUCAAUAUUCUCCUCCUUACAGAUUAAUUUAGCAAUUCAUGGCAGUUGUAGACAUUCUUUCCUUUGCCCAGUUCUAAACUACACUCCAUCACAGUAUUCUGCUUGGCUUUUGAAUUAAUAUAACUUAAUUUGUGAGCAACGACUCCUUCUGUCUUAAUGAAAUCUUUCAGUUUUUGAUUUCAAUUCUAUUGCAUAGUCUGGGCAUCUUUACCCACUACCAGUGAACUUUGUUUCAGAUAUCAAAAUGCAGAGUAAAAACCAUACAACCUAAAAGUGUUUCAGUUGUAGUUCUAAUGCCUAAAUGAGUUCUUUUGAUUAUUUUUUUAAGAAAGACUAUCUUUAGUUAAUUAGAAUUCAAGUUUAUGCAAAAUAUUUUCAUACCAUCAUGUUGUACUGAAUGAAAACAUGAGGGCUUUUAUUCUGGCUGAAAAGAUGCCAGCAGGAGCAAACUAAUGAGCCCCAAAAAGAGAACAUUUGUACAGCUGGAGUCUGAAUGUUAGCAAAAGCUGCUUGUUUUUGAUUGACACUGUAAAAGUCAUGGUGGUGGAAAGUGAUCAAUAAUACUCCCUCUGUGACAAUGUAAA
Molecule: long non-coding RNA, 2632 nt
Organism: Passer montanus (Eurasian tree sparrow)
Lineage: Eukaryota; Metazoa; Chordata; Aves; Passeriformes; Passeridae
Exons: 3
Source: RefSeq, a predicted model, not a curated record